CCUACGGGUGGCAGCAGUGGGGAAUAUUGCAAAAUGGGGGAAACCCUGAUGCAGCGACGCCGCGUGAGUGAAGAAGGAAUUUGUUACGUAAAGCUCUAUCAGCAGGGAAGAAACACUGACCUUACGGUCAGCAGACGGUACCUGAGUAAGAAGCCCCGGCGAACUACGUGCCAGCAGCCGCGGUAAUACGGAGGGGGCAAGCGUUAUCCGGAUUUACGGGGUGUAAAGGGAGCGUAGGCGGUGCGCCAAGUCUGGAGUGAAAUGCCGCAGCUUAACUGCGGAACUGCAUUGGAAACUGGCUAGCUAGAGUGCGGGAGGGGUAAGCGGAAUUCCUAGUGUAGCGGUGAAAUGCAUAGAUAUUAGGAGGAACACCGGUGGCGAAGGCGGCUUACUGGACCGUAACUGACGUUGAGGCUCGAAAGCGUGGGGAGCAAACAGGAUUAGAUACCCUGGUAGUC
This 458-nucleotide ribosomal RNA is filed under the name uncultured bacterium. RNAcentral's name for it is "partial 16S ribosomal RNA". It matches the Rfam family "Bacterial small subunit ribosomal RNA", at positions 338 to 795 of the family's 1533-position model. The record is from RNAcentral.